AAAGUCGUAACAAGGUUUCCGUAGGUGAACCUGCGGAAGGAUCAUUAUUGAAUUUUAAUGAAGAGUUUGGUUGUAGCUGGCCCAUUCAUUUGGGCAUGUGCACACCUUUCUCUUUCAUCCCACACACACCUGUGAACCUGUGAGACAGAUGGGGAAUUUACUUGUUGCUUUUUGGAAUACAAAGGCAAUAGGUUAUUGGACCCUCUGUCUACUCAAUUAAUAUAAACUCAAUUUAUUUUAAAACGAAUGUAAUGGAUGUAACACAUCUCAUACUAAGUUUCAACAACGGAUCUCUUGGCUCUC
RNAcentral lists this unclassified non-coding RNA (303 nucleotides) under Basidiomycota sp. RNAcentral's name for it is "partial contains small subunit ribosomal RNA, internal transcribed spacer 1, and 5.8S ribosomal RNA". The stretch from base 1 to 47 matches the Rfam family "Eukaryotic small subunit ribosomal RNA", at positions 1785 to 1831 of the family's 1831-position model. The record is from RNAcentral. Lineage: Eukaryota; Fungi; Basidiomycota.